RNA transcript from Brassica rapa (field mustard), 7813 nucleotides. RefSeq lists it as uncharacterized. Lineage: Eukaryota; Viridiplantae; Streptophyta; Magnoliopsida; Brassicales; Brassicaceae. The record is from RefSeq and is a predicted model, not a curated record.
UAUUAAAAUUUCAAGUUUUCUUAUAACACAUUUCUUAAAUAGUAUAUGAACUAAAGCUUAUUAUAUACUAUUAUAUUUUUGUAUAUAUAUAUAUAUUUAAACAAUAUAUUGUUGAGAGUUUCAAAAUAAACAAAAAGAUAAUAUAUAGUUGUAGAUAUAAAAUUUUAACUUGUGUUAAUAAAUUUACUUUUGUAUAAAAAUAUGAUAUAGUUUAUGAAUUUUAGCUCAUUUAAUGAUGAGUGAUAAUUUAUUUAAAUGUAACAAUUUUAAAAAAAAAUUCUUAAUUUUCAUUUUUAAUUCAUAAAUCACUUAUAUUUUUUUUAUAAAAUACAGAAUAUAAUUAUAAAAUUUUUAUUUUCUUGUUUUAGAAUAAAAUUUUAAUUAAAUUUAAUGUAUAAUAAUAUUAUAUUACUAAUUAUGAAAUUAAUUAAUGUGUUAUCUUAUAAAAAUAUUUAAUUUUUUGUAAGAUUUUAUUAGAUUGUUUCUCAACAGAUUUUGUUAUAAUUGAAAAAAUAAAAUUUAAUUUAUUGUUGAUUUAUUAUUAAUGUAAAUAAUCAAAUAUAUAAUAUUAACUAAUUCUUUAAGUGGUUUUAUUAUGACUGUUAAUCGUAGAUAAAAAUAUGAUCCUAAAUUAAUAGAUUAGAUGUAAUAACCGAUUAAGACAUGAGUCUGUAAAUACUUUGCUGUAAAAAAAAAUAAAAAAAAAACCGAUUAAGACUAGCGAUCUGAAUAGAUCAAUGAAACAUGUAUUUAAAAUUUAAACCGAGAUCGUUACAAACUGUCUGAAAAGAUGUUUUAAAGUUUAUGUUUGCUGGUGGCUGUAAAAGCACCACAUUGGUAAAUGUUUUCAAAAUGGAGUUUAGACAAGAAAAUAUAUGAUUUUAAUAUAAUAUAAUGAAUGAAUUAAAAUUUAACAUUAAUAAGAAAUUGAACCUGUUGAAACAAGACAUAUGUAUUAAGAGUUUCUCAUAAAAUUUCAUAAAUUUUCAUAUGAGAUUCUCUUUUUACUCUCUUUCAUAAUUUUUGACCAUUUUCAUUUUAUAUAUUACUCAGAUACUUGUUGAGUUCUCUAUAACGUAAAUACUCAAACCUUUGGACGCGGACUUUGAAAGUUCAAAUUCAUGAAUGAUUCAUUUUAGGGACUUGUCCAUGACUUUGUUUGACGGUAUUUCUAUAAAAAUGGACUACUGCAUGUUCAAGAGAAUCGUAACUUUGUUCGUCGGUUCUAUCGUUAAGCUUUGCACAUCUCAUUGGUAAAAUAAACAAACAAACUAAUGUUUUUGGUCUAAUAAACUAACUAACAAACUAAUGUUUGAGUCACAUAUCAUAUUAUCAAUCAUUUUUGAGCAUGACAAAUUUUAUUUCUAAAUCACAGAAACAAAGCUUUGUUAUUGGAGAUAGCUUGCUUUUUUCCCUUGACAAGAUCUAUUGAGUAAACUAAUCUCGGUCCAUUAGACUAUGUCGACUUAAAUAUUAAAAAAGAAAAAGAAAAACGCCUAUAAGUAGAGAAGACCUAGUUCAAAGAAGACAUAAUGAAAUUCACGCAAAAAUCAACACAAGAAUUAGAAGGUUCACAUCUUAAUUGUUUUUGUCGAGUUCUUAACUUAAACGAGUUUUUUAUAUUUUCUUGUAAUCAACCUUUGAUAUCUCAGUAUACGUCUUUCAAAUAACUUAUCAUUGAAUUUGUGCCUAUUUAAUUGUAUGUGCCAAAUUCAAAUUAAGUAAUUAUCAUUAUCUAUAGAAAACUAAAAAGUAACGCCAAGAAAGAUCAUAACUGGCUGGAGACGAUACUCAUAUAUGCACAUGCACUAUCCCGUCGGUCACAGAUUUCACCACUAUGAUGACCAUGAUUCAAAACCUAAUAUAAUGGAACGUCUCAAUCAACAAGAUAACCAAACAAAGCAAUCAAUGAGCGCCUAGAUGUCCUAGUCGCCGGUUUUACACCACCUGAUGAUGGAAACUACAAGAAAAUAAUUCUCCUAUACAAAAUUGAAUCUAACAGUUCAAGGAGCCACAAUGACUCAGACCAACCACACAACAUCUCAACAAAUUGAUGUUCUUCGGAGUUUGAUAUAGGAUCAAAGAUCCAUUUGGUAAAGAGUUUGGCUCCCGGGAAAUAGUGUGUCCUUUUUAAAACGCAAAAGACUCCUUCACAUAAAGAUCACCAACGUCAGAGUCCAAUAUUGGGUUAAGCUAAAAGUACUAUAUUUCUCAGGCGAAUAUGAUCCUAGCGAUUAUAUGAUUGUGUUCAACAUAGCCUUGGAACAAGCACAAUUUACCGCUGAGGAGAAAGAUGCAGAAUAUUAUGAAUUGUUCGUGGAAAAUUUCAACAGACCGGUUUUGACAUGGUUCUCAAGGCUCAAAGAGGAUUUUGUUGACAGUUUUUACGGACUGUACCGAAUUAUUUAAACAUUACUCGAUGUUCAUCUGACAAGGGGAUUCAGCGAGAAAGAAGAGCUCAUGGUUUUCAUGGAAAAAUUUAAAGAACUGGUCUCCAAAGUUCACGUUCUAGAUGCCACAGCAGUGGAGUCUCUGCGUAAUGCACUGUGGACACACUCGCCCUUCAAAAAAGAUCUAUACACUAACAACAACAUCUCGUUGGAGGAUGCUCUCCAUCGUGUCCACUGCUUUAUCACAAUGAAAGAAGAUAAACAUGCCUACAUGAUUAAGCACAAUGCGAUCAAGAGCUUCAUAGCCGUAAAAGUUGAAUAUACAUAUCAAGAACCUCGAAAACACUCAUCCUACAACAAGCAAGAUAAGAAAAAUUCAAACUAUUUACUCUGUUGCCGGGAAGAACCUAUUGAUUCAGCUGUAAUCAUUAUGGUCAAAAUCUAGGUUAGAUUCUUUCUUAUUAUACUCAAAAGACUUUUAAAAAACAAAUCUGACCUGAAAAUGAAAUGCAUUUGGCAAAAAAAAAGAUCGGCGUCAUGCUUUUUUUUUGUCAGCAACAAAACAGACUAAUAUAGAUUCUGUAAACCAAACUGGUAGCUCCGCAUCUUACAAACGAAGGUUGCUUUCUUGCACUACGUGCUAGACUGUCCGUCCUUGAAUUAAGCGUCCUUGAUAUAUGGAUGAGCUCUGAGCUGUGAAAACUUCUUUGCAGGAUCUUGAUAUUCAUCCAGAUAACUUGUAAAUGCGGGUCAUUCUUCAGAUUCAGAAACCAUCUUCAGCAACUAAGAACAAUCCGUCGCAAAAGUAACAGUAUGUCUUAAAUUCCUCAUACAUUCCAUUGCCCAAAUGAGCGCUUUUAUCUCCGAAUGAAGGGGUGAUUGAUACACUCUAGUAUUCCUUGCUCCCAUCAAACUAUCAAAUCCUUCCAAAGUACUACACCAUCCUUGUCCCGAAUAUCUAUCAUGUUCUUUCCAUGAUCCAUCCGGAAAACACCAUCUACCAGGGAUAGUGGGUACCGUUGCGUUCACUACCGAUCGGGCCUGAUCAGAUCUCUGUGCAUGAUUAAUUUGCGCCUCAGCCCAGAGUACCGACUCUGUUUCCGCCAACUUGAAAAUAUCGCGGGGGUCAAUAUUCAAAUUGAUAAAAACUUUGUUGUUUUUUCCUUUCCAUAUAUACCAUAGAAUCCAUGCAAAAUGGUGAUCGGCGUCAUGCUUAAAAUUGAAGAACUUGGUUAUUUCAACUAAAUAUCUCCAACUAAGUGAAAAAUAUUUUUUCUCCGCACAUGAAAAACAUGCAUCAGUCUAAAAAGCAAUUACUAGUGUUUUCAGUUUUAACUAUGUUCUUACAUAUUGAACAACAAUAACUAUUUUCAUAUUAGAAAGAUAAGAACUACAGUAAAUUUUAUUUUCAUAUAUACGAAAGUGUAUUUUUCAAAAAACUUAUAUAAUGGUGUAAUUUUUAAAAUAAAAUCUCGAGUAAUAGUAUUUCUCCAAAUUUUCCCUAAACUUUAAGAUAAUUAAAUACUUUUGGGGAAUAUUGUAAGAAAAUCUACUUCUAUAUUUUCGUGGAAAAUAAAUGGUACAUUUUGACAGAUCAUGGUGCAUAACAGAUAUCAUUCCAUUUUAAAUAUCAUAAUUGUAUCUUACAUAUUAAGUAUGAGGAUGACUAUUAAAAGUUUGAAGUGGAAAUAAAAAAAAUCUCUAAAAUUGUCAUAAAGUCAAAGAUAUAUUUACUUUAAAAUGACAUAAAAAUUAAAUACCCAUAUGUAACAACUCUCUAUAAAUAACAAAUAUACUCUUUCAUUUCCAACAUCAUCUUUUAUUUAUUUGUUAAAAGUAUUUUUGAGAAUGCCAGAAAACAAAAGAGGUCGUCAAAAAGUACCGAUUGCGAAAAUGGAGAAGGAUGCCAACCUUCAAGUUACCUUUUCAAAGAGACGACAAGGUCUUUUUAAAAAAGCUAGUGAACUUUGCACCUUAUGUCGUGUAGGAAUGGGAGUAAUUGUGUUUUCACCAGGCCAAAAAGUAUUUUCUUUUGGCAAUCCAGAUGUUAAAUCUGUACUCGAUAAUUUCAAAAAUCACAACCAUAAUCCUCUUUUAUAUACCCAAGACGGUUUGAACCCAACAAUCCAAAAUCUCAACAGCUUACUUACUCAGGAGAUGGCAAUCCUUGAAAUGGAGAAAAAAAGGAAGAAAGAGUUGGAUGAGAUAAAAAAUAAGAGAGAAGAAACAGAAAAAUGGUGGGAAAAACCUCCGAAUCAACUUGACUUAAGGCAAAACACUUGUCUAACUAGUGCUCUGGAAAAUCUGAAAAUGGAGUUGGUAAGUCAACGGUCCCAACACUUGCAAGCAAUUGAUCCUCCCAAUCAUUAUGGCGAAAGUUACAACAACAUUGUUGGUGGUGGCAAUGUCGAUCUUUUCGACCAAACAAGAAUGUUCGAUGGGAAUGCAUCCAACUAUAAUCCCAAUUCGAUUAUUUCUAAUCAUGGACCCAUGUUCGGAAAUAAUGAUAACACCAAUGUCUUUGAAGCACUCGGUCCAAGAUCCAAUCUGAAUUUGCCUGAGUAGAACCAUGAUCAAUACAAGGACCAAGGUCUGAAGGAAGAAGGAAGAGGCAACAUAAUCCCAAUCAUGAUUUUCAUCACCUUCGACGUUGUUAUCUUGUUUGUCUAUUUUAAAUAAUUUAAUCUGUUGACAAAAAAAUCAAUAAUCUAUGUAUAAGAUAUUUGUUUCUUUUCCUUUUGUUGUUUUUCUGUUCUGUCAACAUUUUCUUUGAUGUUGUUUGUUGUGUGUGUUUAGCAUGUGUGCAUCUUUUACUUAGUCCAUUCGUUAAACCAUGUAAUUUCAUAUGGACUGUCCUUACUGUUACAUUGUGCGAUGCAGACCACGCUGAACAAGGACAGAAUAGAUAACUGCAUAAACUAGUGGAUCUUCAUUGCUUAGCAUAAACAUAAUUUUUUUUUUGGUAUGAGACAUUCUUUUAUGGUAUGAGUAACUUAUCAUUUCAUAAUAGUCUUUUUUUUUUGUUGAUAAAUAUGUGAAUUUCAUUAAAAUGAAGCUAAUUUGUACAAACAAAAAGUUAUGCAAUCAAGCCAAACGAUGCCAUAAAAAGUUAAAAACACCAAAAAAACUUUGAAAUUGGUAUUAUACAUCACCAAUUAACAUUUCAAAAAUGCUUUAGCCAAACUUGCAUGAGACCUCUGAAUUUCCUUCGCUUUUUCCUUGCAAGGAUUGAGUUACGUAUUAGCCUGUCUAGGUCAUUGAGGAUCUUUUGAGGCGUAGAAGAGGUUGUGUUGUGAAGAUGGUUAUUAAUGCGUUCUGCCGAGAGCUGGUAGAUUGUUGCUUGAGCAGCAAGCCAACGGAGCGUUGUAGGGCAUGUGGAGUCUGAUGAACUAAGCCAGUCACCAAAGGCUGUCCAAGUAUGGAACAGAGUAGGCCGGUAGCUUAGACGUUUGGUCACAAGGUGCCAGACUUGUUCACUGAAGCUGCAUCUCAGAAAUAAAUGGUCUCUUGUCUCAGCACAUCCAUCACAAAGAAGGCAAGAUGCAUCAAUACAUGGGUCCCAAGUAGCAAGCCGUGCGCGAGUAGGCAACCUAUCCUGUUGAGUAACCCACAUAUGAAAGGCGUGCUUUGGAGUAUGACCUUUAAACCAGACAAGAGAAACCCAAUCAACUUUCUCUCCUCUAUGCCUGAUAGCUUCCCAUGUAAAGCUGGUGUGAAACUUAGACAAGCUGACUUAAUUUACGAACCAUUUAUAAAUGUCAGGAGAUCCAGAUUGAGCUGGUAGCGGCACUGAACAGAGCACCUGAAGAUGCUCCGCUUUAGGCGAUCUGGCAGGACGGAUAAGCCAGCCAUUGCUUGGACAGCUCUCUCUCUCUCUCUCUCUGAUUGUUGCAUUCAGCGGUAUACGGAGAUACUGAGGCCCAUUAUAACCAAAGAACCUGAUCAGAGGACCUAGUGGCAGCCAAUGAUCAUACCAGAAGCUGGCCGAAAUACCAUUUCUCACUUCGCAUCUUAAUUAAAAAUUGUUCAGCUAAGGGCCGGAUGCGAAGGAUGGAUUUCCAAAUCCAAGACUGGUGCUUCUUCUCACCAAAGCUCCAAAAGCUUGCACCUUUUAGCCUGUUUCUUUUCAUCCAAGAUACCCACAGAGAUUCAUUUUCACAGUGAAGCAACCACAACAGUUUGAGGGGAAGAGUUUCAUUUCAGAAUAAUUGAUGGCUUGUUUUCAAUCUUUCUUUCCUAGCUUUCAUGUGACGUAUGUUGUUUUUCCUUGCAGGACAAAAGCCUGACUGCUACAAUUCAUGUGAAGAUGUUCGUGACACGUAUAGAAACAAAUGUUGGGAUUUUAUGAAUCCAGAUUUGAUUGACCAAGUGGGUGCUAAUAAAAAGGUUUCUCACCUUAUUGGAUUGAAAUUUCAAAUAUAUGGUUUAUAAUUCAGUAAAACAAUCAGUUUUGUAAAAUAUAUAGAUUGUAUUCACAUUUAUGUACUGCUAAAUAUCAUAUAUGUAAUUGCAAUUUAUUUUAGCAUGUCCUAGCUGGUCACUGAGCUAACGAUUAUCAUCCUUACUUGAUUGCUCCAUGGGAAGCUUACGGUUGUCUCAUUGAGUCUUCUAUUGUAUCCAUCUGAGGUCCUGUUAAGGCAUUUGUCGACAUUUUGCCAUCUCUAACUUGCAUGUUUAAUAUAAAAUUUAUCUGCAACCUAACAAAAGCAUGCAAUACCCAUCUCUUCUUUUGUGGUGUGGUUUUAAUAUUUACAGGCUCAUGCCAUCUUCUUGAAGAAUGUGAACAAGUCCGUGAUUGAUACAGUGACUAGACAUAUUGAACAUGUGCAUGAAUAAAAGCAAUACCGAACUCUGAGAGUGGAGCUGGCAAAUGCGGCUAAAUAGCUGGUCCAGAUGUGGAAGGCGGCGGUCAGCUAUUUCUAUGGCUGUAGGCAAUUGGCCGUGGGUCAGACUUCAACGAGAAAGACCAGAUCCGGUAGAUAGGAUUAUUAUCCUAUUUCCAGGGGCUCUAUGUGCCAGAUCUGGACAACCCGGCGCUCAACUCUUCUUCCGGCGAUGGCUCUGUUUUUAUGCUCACGUCCACAGGUGUUCUCUCUUCCUCCCCGAUGUCACCUACUUUUUUUUUUUAAAGGGUUAAACCCUGAUCUAUUAAAAACACAGACCUAACUCCCGGGUAGAAGGUGCAACCUACGGAUGGAUCCUCUUCCGGGUACUCAAAUGGGCCGUAAGCAUGGACCCAUAUCCGCGUGGCCACAUGUAGAGCUAAUAAUUUCGGACUAGAGGAAAGUCAGAUGUCACCUACUUUUUCCCUUCCACUUAGCCACUAUUUGUCUUUAAUCCCAGCCGGAGGUUACUGUUUUGGUUGCCGUUUAGGGUUCAAAAUCAAUAAAUAAAAAGUUUCACUAAAAAAAAGAAAAAAGAAA